This is a long non-coding RNA of Cornus florida, 572 nucleotides long. RefSeq lists it as uncharacterized. The transcript has 3 exons. Lineage: Eukaryota; Viridiplantae; Streptophyta; Magnoliopsida; Cornales; Cornaceae. The record is from RefSeq and is a predicted model, not a curated record.
CCAAUUUAGUCGAUAAAACCAAAUCCCACUUCGCUCUUCCGCGAUCUCACUUUGCUUUACCGCGAUCUCACUUCACUUUGGCAAAGAUAUUUUAGACUUCGUUCGACAGUUGACAUUUCAACAACUUCUGGACUUCGUUCGCGGUCUGACAUUUCAAGUCUUCAACAAAUUCGAAGUCCUCACUCCUCAGUUCUCAGACUCAGAUCGCAAAGGUACCAAAAGAAGAUUUCUUAAGCUCGUCUUGUGGGCUUGCUUGAUGGCACCCUCUUCAAGGAAUGUGAAGGAAGCAUUACUUGGGAACAACCCCAAGGGUACAGGACUCAAGCCUUGAAGAUUUCAUUGCCUUGGAUCGUUUGGUAGCUUUAUGUAUUAAACUUGUAUUCUUUGAUUCUACGUAUGUUAAGUGUACAUAAGUACACUCCUUUUAAUGCAUUAGACAUGUAAGACAUGAGGCCCAAGGCCAAGCAAGUUUAUAUUUGCACUUGUAUUCAAUUGAUGCCAUAUUUUGCUUGAAAAUGUAUUUUUAUCAACUAUGGAGGCUUUGUAUGCUAAAACUUGUUAAUGGAAUGUAA